GGGUUGUGAGGUUAAGCGACUAAGCGUACACGGUGGAUGCCCUGGCAGUCAGAGGCGAUGAAGGACGUGCUAAUCUGCGAUAAGCGUCGGUAAGGUGAUAUGAACCGUUAUAACCGGCGAUUUCCGAAUGGGGAAACCCAGUGUGUUUCGACACACUAUCAUUAACUGAAUCCAUAGGUUAAUGAGGCGAACCGGGGGAACUGAAACAUCUAAGUACCCCGAGGAAAAGAAAUCAACCGAGAUUCCCCCAGUAGCGGCGAGCGAACGGGGAGCAGCCCAGAGCCUGAAUCAGUGUGUGUGUUAGUGGAAGCGUCUGGAAAGGCGCGCGAUACAGGGUGACAGCCCCGUACACAAAAAUGCACAUGCUGUGAGCUCGAUGAGUAGGGCGGGACACGUGGUAUCCUGUCUGAAUAUGGGGGGACCAUCCUCCAAGGCUAAAUACUCCUGACUGACCGAUAGUGAACCAGUACCGUGAGGGAAAGGCGAAAAGAACCCCGGCGAGGGGAGUGAAAAAGAACCUGAAACCGUGUACGUACAAGCAGUGGGAGCACGCUUCGGCGUGUGACUGCGUACCUUUUGUAUAAUGGGUCAGCGACUUAUAUUCUGUAGCAAGGUUAACCGAAUAGGGGAGCCGAAGGGAAACCGAGUCUUAACUGGGCGUUAAGUUGCAGGGUAUAGACCCGAAACCCGGUGAUCUAGCCAUGGGCAGGUUGAAGGUUGGGUAACACUAACUGGAGGACCGAACCGACUAAUGUUGAAAAAUUAGCGGAUGACUUGUGGCUGGGGGUGAAAGGCCAAUCAAACCGGGAGAUAGCUGGUUCUCCCCGAAAGCUAUUUAGGUAGCGCCUCGUGAAUUCAUCUCCGGGGGUAGAGCACUGUUUCGGCAAGGGGGUCAUCCCGACUUACCAACCCGAUGCAAACUGCGAAUACCGGAGAAUGUUAUCACGGGAGACACACGGCGGGUGCUAACGUCCGUCGUGAAGAGGGAAACAACCCAGACCGCCAGCUAAGGUCCCAAAGUCAUGGUUAAGUGGGAAACGAUGUGGGAAGGCCCAGACAGCCAGGAUGUUGGCUUAGAAGCAGCCAUCAUUUAAAGAAAGCGUAAUAGCUCACUGGUCGAGUCGGCCUGCGCGGAAGAUGUAACGGGGCUAAACCAUGCACCGAAGCUGCGGCAGCGACGCUGAUGCGUUGUUGGGUAGGGGAGCGUUCUGUAAGCCUGUGAAGGUGUGCUGUGAGGCAUGCUGGAGGUAUCAGAAGUGCGAAUGCUGACAUAAGUAACGAUAAAGCGGGUGAAAAGCCCGCUCGCCGGAAGACCAAGGGUUCCUGUCCAACGUUAAUCGGGGCAGGGUGAGUCGACCCCUAAGGCGAGGCCGAAAGGCGUAGUCGAUGGGAAACAGGUUAAUAUUCCUGUACUUGGUGUUACUGCGAAGGGGGGACGGAGAAGGCUAUGUUGGCCGGGCGACGGUUGUCCCGGUUUAAGCGUGUAGGCUGGUUUUCCAGGCAAAUCCGGAAAAUCAAGGCUGAGGCGUGAUGACGAGGCACUACGGUGCUGAAGCAACAAAUGCCCUGCUUCCAGGAAAAGCCUCUAAGCAUCAGGUAACAUCAAAUCGUACCCCAAACCGACACAGGUGGUCAGGUAGAGAAUACCAAGGCGCUUGAGAGAACUCGGGUGAAGGAACUAGGCAAAAUGGUGCCGUAACUUCGGGAGAAGGCACGCUGAUAUGUAGGUGAAGUCCCUCGCGGAUGGAGCUGAAAUCAGUCGAAGAUACCAGCUGGCUGCAACUGUUUAUUAAAAACACAGCACUGUGCAAACACGAAAGUGGACGUAUACGGUGUGACGCCUGCCCGGUGCCGGAAGGUUAAUUGAUGGGGUCAGCGCAAGCGAAGCUCUUGAUCGAAGCCCCGGUAAACGGCGGCCGUAACUAUAACGGUCCUAAGGUAGCGAAAUUCCUUGUCGGGUAAGUUCCGACCUGCACGAAUGGCGUAAUGAUGGCCAGGCUGUCUCCACCCGAGACUCAGUGAAAUUGAACUCGCUGUGAAGAUGCAGUGUACCCGCGGCAAGACGGAAAGACCCCGUGAACCUUUACUAUAGCUUGACACUGAACAUUGAGCCUUGAUGUGUAGGAUAGGUGGGAGGCUUGGAAGUGUGGACGCCAGUCUGCAUGGAGCCGACCUUGAAAUACCACCCUUUAAUGUUUGAUGUUCUAACGUUGACCCGUAAUCCGGGUUGCGGACAGUGUCUGGUGGGUAGUUUGACUGGGGCGGUCUCCUCCUAAAGAGUAACGGAGGAGCACGAAGGUUGGCUAAUCCUGGUCGGACAUCAGGAGGUUAGUGCAAUGGCAUAAGCCAGCUUGACUGCGAGCGUGACGGCGCGAGCAGGUGCGAAAGCAGGUCAUAGUGAUCCGGUGGUUCUGAAUGGAAGGGCCAUCGCUCAACGGAUAAAAGGUACUCCGGGGAUAACAGGCUGAUACCGCCCAAGAGUUCAUAUCGACGGCGGUGUUUGGCACCUCGAUGUCGGCUCAUCACAUCCUGGGGCUGAAGUAGGUCCCAAGGGUAUGGCUGUUCGCCAUUUAAAGUGGUACGCGAGCUGGGUUUAGAACGUCGUGAGACAGUUCGGUCCCUAUCUGCCGUGGGCGCUGGAGAACUGAGGGGGGCUGCUCCUAGUACGAGAGGACCGGAGUGGACGCAUCACUGGUGUUCGGGUUGUCAUGCCAAUGGCACUGCCCGGUAGCUAAAUGCGGAAGAGAUAAGUGCUGAAAGCAUCUAAGCACGAAACUUGCCCCGAGAUGAGUUCUCCCUGACCCUUUAAGGGUCCUGAAGGAACGUUGAAGACGACGACGUUGAUAGGCCGGGUGUGUAAGCGCAGCGAUGCGUUGAGCUAACCGGUACUAAUGAACCGUGAGGCUUAACCUUACAACGCCGAAG
RNAcentral lists this ribosomal RNA (2925 nucleotides) under Escherichia coli. Its description in RNAcentral is "bacterial LSU rRNA". It matches the Rfam family "Bacterial large subunit ribosomal RNA". Lineage: Bacteria; Pseudomonadati; Pseudomonadota; Gammaproteobacteria; Enterobacterales; Enterobacteriaceae. The record is from RNAcentral.